AUACGGAGGAUGCAAGCGUUAUCCGGAUUUAUUGGGUUUAAAGGGUGCGUAGGCGGGACUGUAAGUCAGGGGUGAAAUACUGCAGCUUAACUGUAGCAUUGCCUUUGAAACAGCCGUUCUUGAGUACAGUUGAGGUAGGCGGAAUGUGGUGUGUAGCGGUGAAAUGCAUAGAUAUACCACAGAACGCCGAUUGCGAAGGCAGCUUACUAAGCUGUUACUGACGCUGAGGCACGAAAGCGUGGGAUCAAACAGGAUUAGAUACCCCGGUAGUCCACGCUGUAAACGAUGAUUACUGGUUGUUAGCGAUAUAUAGCUAGUGACUGAGCGAAAGCAUUAAGUAAUCCACCUGGGGAGUACGUCGGCAACGAUGAAACUCAAAGGAAUUGACGGGG
Molecule: ribosomal RNA, 392 nt
Filed under: uncultured bacterium
Lineage: Bacteria
Description: partial 16S ribosomal RNA
Rfam family: Bacterial small subunit ribosomal RNA
Source: RNAcentral